GCUAAACAGAGUGAGUACGGCGGUGCGCUAAACAGAGUGAGUACGGCGGUGCGCUAAACAGAGUGAGUACGGCAGUGCGCUAAACAGAGUGAGUACGGCGGUGUGCUAAACAACCAAAGAUUUCAAGACUAAAGGUCGGUUUAUACGACGUCUAUCGACAGUUGUCGCCAUGACAUCAUAAACAUUCUAUUGUCAUCCGACAUCAAACUUGUCGUUAUGAAAGAUUCCCCGGGAGGGGCGGUUCCCCUUUCAGCCCCGUAGGAAACACCAGGUAGGGAGGGGCGGUUCCCCUUUCAGCCCCGGAGGAAACACCAGGUAGGGAGGGGCGGUUCCCCUUUCAGCCCCGUAGGAAACACCAGGGAGGGAGGGGCGGUUCCCCUUUCAGCCCCGUAGGAAACACCAGGUAGGGAGGGGCGGUUCCCCUUUCAGCCCCGGAGGAAACACCAGGUAGGGAGGGGCGGUUCCCCUUUCAGCCCCGGAGGAAACACCAGGGAGGGAGGGGCGGUUCCCCUUUCAGCCCCGUAGGAAACACCAGGUAGGGAGGGGCGGUUCCCCUUUCAGCCCCGGAGGAAACACCAGGUAGGGAGGGCGGUUCCCCUUUCAGCCCCUUAAGGCAAGCACCAGGUAGGGAGGGGCGGUUCCCUUGCUGCCCCUUAUUAAGGCAAGCACCGGGUAGGGAGGGGCGGUUCCCUUGCUGCCCCUUAUUAAGGCAAGCACCGGGUAGGGAGGGGCGGUUCCCUUGCUGCCCCUUAUUAAGGCAAGCACCGGGUAGGGAGGGGCGGUUCCCUUGCUGCCCCUUAUUAAGGCAAGCACCGGGUAGGGAGGGGCGGUUCCCUUGCUGCCCCUUAUUAAGGCAAGCACCAGGGUCUUGAACUGGAGGGACAUUACUCAGAGAGUUCAUCACUGCCAGAUUAUAUCUGACAGUCAACAGUUCUGUGUGGUUUUAUUUGGAAGUUAGGAGAGAGAGCAUGUCAGAAGGUCAUGGGUCAUACAUGUUAGGGUUAGGGAUCAAAUCCAUCCCCGCUCUGGUACACAUGUGUCUGUUAGGGUUAGGGAUCAAAUCCAUCCCCGCUCUGGUACACGUGUGUCUGGAAUACACUGAAUGCUGGUUGGGUUAGGGUUAGGGAUCAUCCUGUUGUUGCAGGAAUUUUCCAGCACAGCAGGAAAUGUAAAUAGGACUGUAUACGAGGUUGAAAAACACAUCAGAAGUUUGUGAUUUCCACUUUUCAAAUGAUUUUCUUAGAUUUUUCCCUAAUGAAAAAUGUACCAACCCCUACAGAUUAAAAAAAUAAAUUAUAAUCCACAAUACAAUUUACAUUUCCUGUUGCUGCAGUAUUAUUUUCCUUCUUUAGCACACUGGCUCAAAUUAUGAUACGACAUCUGUACAGUAUGAACAGCUGGGACACAACAAACUGCACCCUGGGAAAGAUCUGAACACUUUAGACAGGGAAAGACCUGGACACUUUAUACAGGGAAAGACCUCAACACUUUAUACAGGGAAAGACCUGAACAGUUCUACAGAGAAAGACCAGAACACUUUAUACACCGAAAGAUUUCAAAACUUUAUACAGCAAAAGAUUUCAACACUUUAUAAAGGGAAAGCCCUCAAAACCUUAUAGGUCUCAACACAUUAUAUAGGGAAAUAGCUCAACACUUUAUACAAGGAAAGAUCACAACACUUUAUAGGGAAAGAUGUCAACACUUUAUACAGGGAAAGACCUCAACUUUAUUCAGGGAAAGAUUUCAACACUUUAUACAGGGAAAGAUCUCAACACUUUUUAUACGGGGAAAAAUUUCAACACUUUAUACAGGGAAAGACCUGAACACUUUAUACAGGGAAAGAUCUCAACACUUUAUACAGGGAAAGACCUCAACACUUUAUACAGGGAAAGACCAACAUUUUAUACAGGGAAAGAACUCAACACUUCAUACAGGGAAAGACCAACAUUUUAUACAGGGAAAGAUAACACUUUAAACAGCGAAAUAUUUCAAAACUUUAUACAGCGAUAGACUUCAACACUUUAUAAAGGGAAAGAUUUCAGUACUUUAUACUGGGAAAGGCCUCAACACUUCAUACAGGGAAAGAUCUGAACACUUUAUACAGGGAAAAACCAACACUUUAUACAGGGAAAGAUUUCAGUACUUUAUACAGGGAAAGA
RNAcentral lists this long non-coding RNA (2159 nucleotides) under Salmo salar (Atlantic salmon). RNAcentral's name for it is "lncRNA (ENSSSAG00000107063.1)". Lineage: Eukaryota; Metazoa; Chordata; Actinopteri; Salmoniformes; Salmonidae. The record is from RNAcentral.